Molecule: ribosomal RNA, 497 nt
Filed under: uncultured bacterium
Lineage: Bacteria
Description: partial 16S ribosomal RNA
Rfam family: Bacterial small subunit ribosomal RNA
Source: RNAcentral
GAUGAACGCUGGCGGCGUGCCUAAUACAUGCAAGUCGAGCGAACAGACGAGGAGCUUGCUCCUCUGACGUUAGCGGCGGACGGGUGAGUAACACGUGGAUAACCUACCUAUAAGACUGGGAUAACUUCGGGAAACCGGAGCUAAUACCGGAUAAUAUAUUGAACCGCAUGGUUCAAUAGUGAAAGACGGUUUUGCUGUCACUUAUAGAUGGAUCCGCGCCGCAUUAGCUAGUUGGUAAGGUAACAGCUUACCAAGGCAACGAUGCGUAGCCGACCUGAGAGGGUGAUCGGCCACACUGGAACUGAGACACGGUCCAGACUCCUACGGGAGGCAGCAGUAGGGAAUCUUCCGCAAUGGGCGAAAGCCUGACGGAGCAACGCCGCGUGAGUGAUGAAGGUCUUCGGAUCGUAAAACUCUGUUAUUAGGGAAGAACAAAUGUGUAAGUAACUGUGCACGUCUUGACGGUACCUAAUCAGAAAGCCACGGCUAACUACGUG